Molecule: ribosomal RNA, 406 nt
Filed under: uncultured bacterium
Lineage: Bacteria
Description: partial 16S ribosomal RNA
Rfam family: Bacterial small subunit ribosomal RNA
Source: RNAcentral
AUUGAACGCUGGCGGCAGGCCUAACACAUGCAAGUCGAACGAGUGGCGGACGGGUGAGUAAUGUCUGGGAAACUGCCCGAUGGAGGGGGAUAACUACUGUAAACCGUAGCUAAUACCGCAUACCAUCGGAUGUGCCCAGAUGGGAUGAGCUAGUAGGUGGGGUAAAGGCUCCACUAGGCGACGAUCCCUAGCUGGUCUGAGAGGAUGCACAGCAACACUGGAACGGAGACACGGUCCAGACUCCUACGGGAGGCAGCAGUGGGGAAGAUUGCACAAUGGGCGCAAGCCUGAUGCAGCCAUGCCGCGUGUAUGAAGAAGGCCUUCGGGUUGUAAAGUACGUUCAGCGGGGAGGCGUUACCCGCAGAAGAAGCACCGGCUAACUCCGUGCCAGCAGCCGCGGUAAUUC